This 1088-nucleotide ribosomal RNA is filed under the name Salmonella enterica. RNAcentral describes it as "partial 23S ribosomal RNA". It matches the Rfam family "Bacterial large subunit ribosomal RNA", at positions 1292 to 2363 of the family's 2925-position model. Lineage: Bacteria; Pseudomonadati; Pseudomonadota; Gammaproteobacteria; Enterobacterales; Enterobacteriaceae. The record is from RNAcentral. RNAcentral also lists the same sequence under 1 other name.
GAAUGCUGACAUAAGUAACGAUAAAGCGGGUGAAAAGCCCGCUCGCCGGAAGACCAAGGGUUCCUGUCCAACGUUAAUCGGGGCAGGGUGAGUCGACCCCUAAGGCGAGGCCGAAAGGCGUAGUCGAUGGGAAACGGGUUAAUAUUCCCGUACUUGGUGUUACUGCGAAGGGGGGACGGAGAAGGCUAUGUUGGCCGGGCGACGGUUGUCCCGGUUUAAGCGUGUAGGUGUGUGUUCCAGGUAAAUCCGGUUCACUUUAACACUGAGGCGUGACGACGAGGCACUACGGUGCUGAAGCAACAAAUGCCCUGCUUCCAGGAAAAGCCUCUAAGCAUCAGGUAACAUCAAAUCGUACCCCAAACCGACACAGGUGGUCAGGUAGAGAAUACCAAGGCGCUUGAGAGAACUCGGGUGAAGGAACUAGGCAAAAUGGUGCCGUAACUUCGGGAGAAGGCACGCUGACACGUAGGUGAAGUGAUUUACUCAUGGAGCUGAAGUCAGUCGAAGAUACCAGCUGGCUGCAACUGUUUAUUAAAAACACAGCACUGUGCAAACACGAAAGUGGACGUAUACGGUGUGACGCCUGCCCGGUGCCGGAAGGUUAAUUGAUGGGGUCAGCGCAAGCGAAGCUCCUGAUCGAAGCCCCGGUAAACGGCGGCCGUAACUAUAACGGUCCUAAGGUAGCGAAAUUCCUUGUCGGGUAAGUUCCGACCUGCACGAAUGGCGUAAUGAUGGCCAGGCUGUCUCCACCCGAGACUCAGUGAAAUUGAACUCGCUGUGAAGAUGCAGUGUACCCGCGGCAAGACGGAAAGACCCCGUGAACCUUUACUAUAGCUUGACACUGAACAUUGAGCCUUGAUGUGUAGGAUAGGUGGGAGGCUUUGAAGUGUGGACGCCAGUCUGCAUGGAGCCGACCUUGAAAUACCACCCUUUAAUGUUUGAUGUUCUAACGUGGACCCGUUACCCGGGUUGCGGACAGUGUCUGGUGGGUAGUUUGACUGGGGCGGUCUCCUCCUAAAGAGUAACGGAGGAGCACGAAGGUUGGCUAAUCCUGGUCGGACAUCAGGAGGUUAGUGCAAUGGCAUAAG